GACGAACGCUGGCGGCGUGCUUUACACAUGCAAGUCGAACGGUGAAGGUGGAGCUUGCUCCGCCGGAUCAGUGGCGAACGGGUGAGUAACACGUGGGCAACCUGCCCCUAACUUUGGGAUAACUACUCGAAAGAGUAGCUAAUACCGGAUAUGAAGUCUGUAGGCAUCUAUGGAUUUGGAAAGUUUUUCGGUUAGGGAUGGGCCCGCGGCCUAUCAGCUUGUUGGUGAGGUAGUGGCGCACCAAGGCGACGACGGGUAGCCGGCCUGAGAGGGCGACCGGCCACACUGGGACUGGGACACGGCCCAGACUCCUACGGGAGGCAGCAGUGGGGAAUACUGCGCAAUGGGCGAAAGCCUGACGCGGCAACGCCGCGUGCGGGAUGAAGGCCUUCGGGUUGUAAACCGCUUUCAGCAGGGAAGAAGCGAAAGUGACGGUACCUGCAGAAGAAGCACCGGCUAACUACGUGCCAGCAGCCGCCGUAA
This 483-nucleotide ribosomal RNA is filed under the name uncultured bacterium. RNAcentral's name for it is "partial 16S ribosomal RNA". It matches the Rfam family "Bacterial small subunit ribosomal RNA", at positions 28 to 523 of the family's 1533-position model. The record is from RNAcentral.